Molecule: signal recognition particle RNA, 286 nt
Filed under: Vombatus ursinus (common wombat)
Lineage: Eukaryota; Metazoa; Chordata; Mammalia; Diprotodontia; Vombatidae
Description: Metazoan signal recognition particle RNA (ENSVURG00010006892.1)
Rfam family: Metazoan signal recognition particle RNA
About the family: The signal recognition particle (SRP) is a universally conserved ribonucleoprotein. It is involved in the co-translational targeting of proteins to membranes.
Source: Rfam by way of RNAcentral
GCUGGGUGUAGUGGCACAUGCUUGUAAUCACUACUACAAGGGAGGCUGGGGCUGAUGGAUUGCUUGAGCUCAGGAGUUCUGAGCUCCAAUGGGCUAAGCUGAGUGAGUGUCUACACUACAAUAUGAGGAACCUUCAGGAUUAGGAGGCCAAUAGGCUUCCUAAGGAGGACUGAACUAGCCCAGGUCAGAAACAGCAGAUCAAAACUCCUGUGUCAAUUUGAGUGGGACCUGGCCCAUGAGUAGACCCUAUACUUCCAGCCUGGGUGAUAUAGGCAGAUAGUCUUUU